RNAcentral lists this ribosomal RNA (2901 nucleotides) under Escherichia coli. RNAcentral's name for it is "bacterial LSU rRNA". It matches the Rfam family "Bacterial large subunit ribosomal RNA". The record is from RNAcentral. Lineage: Bacteria; Pseudomonadati; Pseudomonadota; Gammaproteobacteria; Enterobacterales; Enterobacteriaceae.
UUAAGCGACUAAACGUACACGGUGGAUGCCCUGGCAGUCAGAGGCGAUGAAGGACGUGCUAAUCUGCGAUAAGCGUCGGUAAGGUGAUAUGAACCGUUAUAACCGGCGAUUUCCGAAUGGGGAAACCCAGUGUGUUUCGACACACUAUCAUUAACUGAAUCCAUAGGUUAAUGAGGCGAACCGGGGGAACUGAAACAUCUAAGUACCCCGAGGAAAAGAAAUCAACCGAGAUUCCCCCAGUAGCGGCGAGCGAACGGGGAGCAGCCCAGAGCCUGAAUCAGUGUGUGUGUUAGUGGAAGCGUCUGGAAAGGCGCGCGAUACAGGGUGACAGCCCCGUACACAAAAAUGCACAUGCUGUGAGCUCGAUGAGUAGGGCGGGACACGUGGUAUCCUGUCUGAAUAUGGGGGGACCAUCCUCCAAGGCUAAAUACUCCUGACUGACCGAUAGUGAACCAGUACCGUGAGGGAAAGGCGAAAAGAACCCCGGCGAGGGGAGUGAAAAAGAACCUGAAACCGUGUACGUACAAGCAGUGGGAGCCUCUUUAUGGGGUGACUGCGUACCUUUUGUAUAAUGGGUCAGCGACUUAUAUUCUGUAGCAAGGUUAACCGAAUAGGGGAGCCGAAGGGAAACCGAGUCUUAACUGGGCGUUAAGUUGCAGGGUAUAGACCCGAAACCCGGUGAUCUAGCCAUGGGCAGGUUGAAGGUUGGGUAACACUAACUGGAGGACCGAACCGACUAAUGUUGAAAAAUUAGCGGAUGACUUGUGGCUGGGGGUGAAAGGCCAAUCAAACCGGGAGAUAGCUGGUUCUCCCCGAAAGCUAUUUAGGUAGCGCCUCGUGAAUUCAUCUCCGGGGGUAGAGCACUGUUUCGGCAAGGGGGUCAUCCCGACUUACCAACCCGAUGCAAACUGCGAAUACCGGAGAAUGUUAUCACGGGAGACACACGGCGGGUGCUAACGUCCGUCGUGAAGAGGGAAACAACCCAGACCGCCAGCUAAGGUCCCAAAGUCAUGGUUAAGUGGGAAACGAUGUGGGAAGGCCCAGACAGCCAGGAUGUUGGCUUAGAAGCAGCCAUCAUUUAAAGAAAGCGUAAUAGCUCACUGGUCGAGUCGGCCUGCGCGGAAGAUGUAACGGGGCUAAACCAUGCACCGAAGCUGCGGCAGCGACGCUUAUGCGUUGUUGGGUAGGGGAGCGUUCUGUAAGCCUGUGAAGGUGUGCUGUGAGGCAUGCUGGAGGUAUCAGAAGUGCGAAUGCUGACAUAAGUAACGAUAAAGCGGGUGAAAAGCCCGCUCGCCGGAAGACCAAGGGUUCCUGUCCAACGUUAAUCGGGGCAGGGUGAGUCGACCCCUAAGGCGAGGCCGAAAGGCGUAGUCGAUGGGAAACAGGUUAAUAUUCCUGUACUUGGUGUUACUGCGAAGGGGGGACGGAGAAGGCUAUGUUGGCCGGGCGACGGUUGUCCCGGUUUAAGCGUGUAGGCUGGUUUUCCAGGCAAAUCCGGAAAAUCAAGGCUGAGGCGUGAUGACGAGGCACUACGGUGCUGAAGCAACAAAUGCCCUGCUUCCAGGAAAAGCCUCUAAGCAUCAGGUAACAUCAAAUCGUACCCCAAACCGACACAGGUGGUCAGGUAGAGAAUACCAAGGCGCUUGAGAGAACUCGGGUGAAGGAACUAGGCAAAAUGGUGCCGUAACUUCGGGAGAAGGCACGCUGAUAUGUAGGUGAAGUCCCUCGCGGAUGGAGCUGAAAUCAGUCGAAGAUACCAGCUGGCUGCAACUGUUUAUUAAAAACACAGCACUGUGCAAACACGAAAGUGGACGUAUACGGUGUGACGCCUGCCCGGUGCCGGAAGGUUAAUUGAUGGGGUCAGCGCAAGCGAAGCUCUUGAUCGAAGCCCCGGUAAACGGCGGCCGUAACUAUAACGGUCCUAAGGUAGCGAAAUUCCUUGUCGGGUAAGUUCCGACCUGCACGAAUGGCGUAAUGAUGGCCAGGCUGUCUCCACCCGAGACUCAGUGAAAUUGAACUCGCUGUGAAGAUGCAGUGUACCCGCGGCAAGACGGAAAGACCCCGUGAACCUUUACUAUAGCUUGACACUGAACAUUGAGCCUUGAUGUGUAGGAUAGGUGGGAGGCUUUGAAGUGUGGACGCCAGUCUGCAUGGAGCCGACCUUGAAAUACCACCCUUUAAUGUUUGAUGUUCUAACGUUGACCCGUAAUCCGGGUUGCGGACAGUGUCUGGUGGGUAGUUUGACUGGGGCGGUCUCCUCCUAAAGAGUAACGGAGGAGCACGAAGGUUGGCUAAUCCUGGUCGGACAUCAGGAGGUUAGUGCAAUGGCAUAAGCCAGCUUGACUGCGAGCGUGACGGCGCGAGCAGGUGCGAAAGCAGGUCAUAGUGAUCCGGUGGUUCUGAAUGGAAGGGCCAUCGCUCAACGGAUAAAAGGUACUCCGGGGAUAACAGGCUGAUACCGCCCAAGAGUUCAUAUCGACGGCGGUGUUUGGCACCUCGAUGUCGGCUCAUCACAUCCUGGGGCUGAAGUAGGUCCCAAGGGUAUGGCUGUUCGCCAUUUAAAGUGGUACGCGAGCUGGGUUUAGAACGUCGUGAGACAGUUCGGUCCCUAUCUGCCGUGGGCGCUGGAGAACUGAGGGGGGCUGCUCCUAGUACGAGAGGACCGGAGUGGACGCAUCACUGGUGUUCGGGUUGUCAUGCCAAUGGCACUGCCCGGUAGCUAAAUGCGGAAGAGAUAAGUGCUGAAAGCAUCUAAGCACGAAACUUGCCCCGAGAUGAGUUCUCCCUGACCCUUUAAGGGUCCUGAAGGAACGUUGAAGACGACGACGUUGAUAGGCCGGGUGUGUAAGCGCAGCGAUGCGUUGAGCUAACCGGUACUAAUGAACCGUGAGGCUUAACCUU